AGUCUCAAAGCAAAGGCUCAUGGGCUGCUGGCAGACCUAUGAGACUAUGCUUUAGAGACGACAACAGGUAUGAGGAAGUAAGGCGAUAGCCUGGAUUCCGAAUAGCUGUUAGGAUUCUGGAAGUGCAAAGCACGGAAGAAUCCGGGG
This 147-nucleotide small RNA is filed under the name uncultured Blautia sp. RNAcentral's name for it is "Clostridiales-1 RNA". It matches the Rfam family "Clostridiales-1 RNA". Lineage: Bacteria; Bacillati; Bacillota; Clostridia; Lachnospirales; Lachnospiraceae. The record is from RNAcentral.